GGUAUGGGUCCCGCCUCUGGG
RNAcentral lists this non-coding RNA (21 nucleotides) under Arabidopsis thaliana (thale cress). The record is from RNAcentral. Lineage: Eukaryota; Viridiplantae; Streptophyta; Magnoliopsida; Brassicales; Brassicaceae.